UACGUAAGCAGCGAGCGUUGUUCGGAGUUACUGGGCGUAAAGGGUGUGUAGGCGGUUGUUUAAGUUUGGUGUGAAAUCUCCCGGCUCAACUGGGAGGGUGCGCCGAAUACUGAGCGACUAGAGUGCGGGAGAGGAAAGUGGAAUUCCUGGUGUAGCGGUGAAAUGCGUAGAUAUCAGGAGGAACACCGGUGGUGUAGACGGCUUUCUGGACCGUAACUGACGCUGAGACACGAAAGCGUGGGUAGCAAACAGG
RNAcentral lists this ribosomal RNA (253 nucleotides) under uncultured bacterium. RNAcentral's name for it is "partial 16S ribosomal RNA". It matches the Rfam family "Bacterial small subunit ribosomal RNA", at positions 524 to 776 of the family's 1533-position model. The record is from RNAcentral.